UUGCAGCAGCAGCUGACGUUAAAACUUAUCUGGAUAUUCAACGAUUUUUCUAAGAGAAAGGUAACAGAGCUAACCCAGAUAGCAACAGGAUCCGGGCCGAUUCUGGUUUAUAUUUGGCACUGUCGGUUCACUUUCGGCAUUAGUUAGUGGCAUGUUGGCCGAGCUUUUGCCGAAAGCUAUAUUUCAGAAAAGAGAGAUAUUUCGGCUGACUUCUGGCAUGUACGUGGUUAACCAAAAGAGGGCGGGAAAAACAGAAAGGAGGGACCUGUUACGAGAAGAGGGAGGUUCGCUGUGGCCUGGGAAAUAUUGUGAGAUCUGAAAAGACCUGCAGUCAUACUUCUGUUUGUUCACAAGUAAGGGGUGUCCCAUCUUAUCCAGUAAGAGCCAGUGUAGUUGCCAGUUUUCAUGUGAACAAAACCAAACAAAAGUGCAUAAUGGAACACAGGUGGGCAUACAGUGAGCGCAGUAACAUGCGCAAGAGAGCUGUUAAAAGGGUCAAUGACAUGAUAACAGCCUUGGACAGGGACAUAUCUGCUAGCUUGGGGGUUGACCAAACCCAGGAGGAAAGUGUAGUAGCAAGCUGUAGUUAUGCCACUAGUGAGUUUGCUGACAUUUAUGGAAGUGAAGAGGAGGUUGGUUGUGAAAUAGAAAGUGAAACUAGUGACUGUGAAGAUUCACCACCUAGUGAUUUGAGAAGCUCUUUGUCAGACUGGGCAGUUGAGUUUGGUGUUUCAUUGGUUGCGCUUUCGGCACUUCUGUCUAUACUUAGCGUCACCAUCCUUUUCUCCCAAAAGACGGCAGAUCAUUGCUUAAAACAAAAACGCAGUAUGUUGUGGAAAAUAUAGCAGGUGGCUCCUUCUACUAUUUUGGUAUAUUAAGUACUCUUGGCAAAAUAUUUCAUGAAAUUGCUUCUAAAGUUCCCAACAGACAUACAUUUAAAUUGCAGCUAAUUUUUAAAUUACAGUUUUGAUGGUCUGCCGUUGUUUAAAAGUUCAUCUGUUCAGUUCUGGCCAGUACUGGGAAAGUUGCAGGAAUAUGCUACACAAGGACCAGUAUUAAUUGCUGUGUUCUGUGGUGAAUCAAAGCCAACUUCAUUGUCUGAGUACCUUAAUUCUCUUGUAAAAGAGUUAAAAACCUUGAGUAAUGGGUUCAUCAUGGGUGGAAAGGUUUUUUUUGUCAAGGUAGCUUCAGUUAUAUGUGACGCUCCAGCUAGAGCCUUCAUUAAAGGUGUCAAAUCUCACACUGGUUAUGUGGGAUGUGACAAGUGUGUUCAGGCAGGUGUUUACUUGAAUCACCUUUCCUGAGACUCAUGCUGCUUGUAGGACUGAUGAGUCUUUUAGGGUCAGUGCUGAUGAAGACCACCAUUUACAGCAAUCACCUUUGUUGGAAAUAGACAUUGGCAUGAUUAGUUGUUUUCCUCAUGAUUAUAUGCAUUUAGUAUGUCUUGGCGUGGUGCGAAAGUGUUUGGAUCUCUGGAUGGGUAGUACUGGGCCUCUACGGUGUCGUAUGUCCACACGUGAGAGUGAUGCAGUUUCUGAAAGGUUAAUGGCUUUGAUAAGUUUUGUCCCAGUUGAAUUUGCGAGAAAACCAAGGAGACUUUCAGAAAGAUUAAGGAUGGAAAGCAACAGAACUGAGACAGUUUCUUCUGUAUACUGGUCCAGUUGUUCUUCGAGGUGUGUUGGCAGAUGAAGUGUAUAGCAAUUUUAUGUUGUUAUCAGUUGCUAUUAGCAUUUUGGCAAAUCCCACAUUUUGUUUUAUGUUAAAUGACUUUGCAAACACAUUGCUUGUCUCAUUCGUCGAGCACUUUAGUCAGUUAUAUGGUCCAGAGUUUGUAGUGUACAAUGUACACAGAUUAAUUCACCUCAGUGAUGAUGUUAAGCAUCACGGACACUUGGACCUUAUUUCUGGAUUCCCAUUUGAAAAUUAUCUACAGAAAUUAAAGAAAAUGGUUAGAAAACCACACAGCCCUUUAACUCAAAUAAUUCGCAGGGUUUCUGAAAUGGAAAGCAUAAAUCCAAAAAACACUACUGAAACACAAGACUAAAUUGGAGCACAGAGAAGGGCCAUUGCCACAGUUGUUUACAGGAAGAGUGUGUCAGUUUAUAGAAUUAGUUACUGGUGGUGUUGUUAUCAGGACGUCAGAAGGAGACAACUGCAUUAAGUUUAACAAAGAAGUUAUUUUAGUACAGAACAUAGUCCUUUAUCAAGACAAAGUGUACAUAGUUUAUAAGGAAUACAGCAGAAAAGGGACGUUUUUUGAUUACCCCAUUGAUUCUUGUGAAUUGGGGGUUUUUGUUGUCUCACGUUUGUCUUCAGAUCUCAGAUAUGCAAGGCUUGAGGAAAAUGUGCCUGUGACCAAAUAUUUUAGGAUGCCACUUGAAGUUCAGGGUAGGUUUGCUGUUUUCCCCCUUCUGCAUUUGCAGUAAUAGGACAGGAAUAUGUUUUUCCCAUUUGCAUGUUAGCAGAAGAGGUAUGUACCACAUAGUGAGCUUUGUGGAUACAGAAGAAGUAGAAGUUGUCCCAGCCCUCUGGGUGAAAGAUGGUGUUUGCCUGUGGCCUCCAUAUAAGAGUGAAGGUGUCCAGAGGGCAACCAAAAUGCAGGAGCAGCCUGGUGACAACUGGACCACAUACAACAUAGAAGUGUUAUAUACAGCACAUAAUUACAAUGAAGCAUGAAGAAAGCUUCCACUUGCAGAGCAACAAACUGAUCUCCAGUCAGAAGCUGAGAAUGAGUCACUGAAGCCACAUAAAAGGAAAAUACAACCAAACAAACGCCUGCUUGAAGAUGGAUAUAACACUGAUGAAGAGACCUUGGUUCCCAAAAAGAAUGUCUUACCUCAAGCCCCCAGAAUAAAGCAACCAUUUAAAAAAAUCCCUGCAUCACACCUAGGGUUGCAACGGUAUGAGAUUUUCACGGUAUGAUAACCGUCUCAGAAAAUACCGCGGUAUCACGGUUAUCACGGUAUCACAGUUUGUUACAUAUAUUAUUAAACUGACCCUUAAAGAAAUUACAACAAAGGUUUUUUGUUCAAUUAACUAUUUAUUGUAGAAACCUGGAACAACUAUAUAGAUAAUGUCUCCUUAAAAAAAAUAAACUGUACACCAUUAGGUGAAGGAAACCAGGUUUUUCCACUACUCUUAAGGUCAUUAAGGGUGUAUAUAAUUAUAUAUAUAUAUAUAUAUAUAUAUAUAUAUAUAUAUACACACACACACACGUGUCACACAUUACAUGUCCUCUAAGAAGUAAAGAUCCUGUGUUUAAACUAUUCAGUACAAUUAUUUAAGUUUAAAUUAUUUAAUAUCUGAUAAACUGAGCCUGGGUCAGUGUCUGAUCAACAACUGUUGUAAACGUCCGUUUUACUGCCAAGUUGGUAUAUAACCAGAUAGAGGGGAUUUAUUUCUGAGUCUGGUUUUAACACAUGAAAAACAGGCACGUCAGAAUUUGAAAAUUAACGCAUGUAAAUGAAUGGCGUCUUUCACAUCCAGUCCGGCGAGCACCUUUACACGGACACGUGAAUCCGUCGUAGCACGCACUUCACGCCUGUACCUGCGUGCCCAAAUUUCGGAUAACUCCGCGCUUUUGCGGGCGCUUACCGCAUGGGUUAUGCACGACUACAAAGAGAUUUUAUUUAGGUUCAGAUUAAAAUUAUUAACUAAACACACUAACUAACUAAACAUACUUUGCGCUGCAGAGCGGGGUGGUGUUCUUGGAGAUGGGAGAACAGGUUUGACGUAUGUCCACCUUUAGCUGUGACUUUACGGCCACAUUGAUUAUAAAUCGGAUAACCUCGGGUGCGUUCGGCGGGUCUCUGAAAUAUUCCCACACUGCUGAUUUUAGUUUAGCCUUUUUUUAGGCGGACGGAGAUUUGUUUAUUCUGAUGCACUUUCUGCUGUUCUCACCGCUGUGUGCUGAGCAGCUGAAGCGGAGCAGAGUUGCGCAUGCGCGGGUGAGUUUCUCCGCUGGCUUGCGUUUUACCGGUAAUAAGCAAACACACACGGUAUGAUAACCGUGCAUUUUAAUACCAUGGUAUACCGUGAAACCGGUUACCGCUGCAACCCUAAUCACACCCUUUUGAGUUACAUCCACAUCCUGGCCCUCAGAAACAAAGCAACUCUACCUCAUCUCUGUUGCACCAAAUGUCUUCAGAUCAACCAUUGCACUGUGCAACAUCAACUUCAGCCUCAUCAUUCCUGUCAGCACCCUCACAGUUGGGCCUAGAAAAUUCAACUGAAAGGCAUAGGGAAGUUAGUCUUGGUGCAUCUCUGCGCAAGGCUAUUGACAUAUCAGGCCACCCAGGAAUCCCUGGUCAAACACGUGAACAGUUUUGGCAAGAAGACCCUUAUGAAGAACAAUCGCACAUCCAGAGUCAUCAAAUAAACUAAUCAAAUAAACAUCAAAUAAACCAAUACAGCCCCAGCACCAGGCAGCUCAAUCAGUAUGGCAGCAGGAAGCCACUCCAGGAUCAUCCAAGGAAACACCUCAACUUCAGAAGCUAAGAAGUGCCUCAGUUUGUGAGCAAAAAUUUGCAACACUACUGCAUGACCUGUUGACAAAGCAGGAAGUAAUAAUUGAGCAACAAAGGAACUUGAUAAGGAUGGUCCAAGAUCUGAAGACUACCAGCACCAGGGAAAACGCAGUUGAUUGUGACUUGGAUCAAAGGCACUGUCCUGUUGAAGACCUUUCUUCACUUAUGGCUCUAGAAAAUGAUCUCCGAUCCUCUCCAGACAAGAGAAAAAAACUGAAGCUGUAAGAAGAAACUCACUGUGUGCCAAUGCCACUGAGAUGGAGGUUGAACGAGUAAUAAGAAGAUGGUUUCAUCUUGCUGGUGACUGGGAGGGUGGGAGAAAGAGGAGGAAAGAAAUUGCAGAAGACAUGGAGAGCAAUACAUCAGGGAAAAACAACAUAUAAUAGAAUGGACACUACAAUGCCGCACUGGAGAGUGCAUGAAGACAACGGACUGUAAAGUAAAGCAAACUCAAACCACCUCAAAACACUGGACUGUACAAAAAUCACACUGGGGACUUCCUCAAAACACUGGACUGUACAGGAAAGGACACAGGAGACUACCUCAAAACACUGGACUGUACAAAAAUCACACUGGAGACUACCUCAAAACACUGGACUGUACAAAAAUCACACUGGAGACUACCUCAAACCACUGGACUGUACAAAAAUCACAAUGGAGACUUCCUCAAAACACUGGACUGUACGAGAAAGGACACUGGAGACUACCUCAAAACACUGGACUGUACAAAAAUCACAAUGGAGACUUCCUCAAAACACUGGACUGUACGAGAAAGGACACUGGAGACUACUUCAAAGCACUGGACUGUACAAAAAUCACACUGGAGACUACCUCAAAACACUGGACUGUACAAAAAUCACACUGGAGACUACCUCAAAACACUGGACUGUACAAAAAUCACAAUGGAGACUUCCUCAAAACACUGGACUGUACGAGAAAGGACACUGGAGACUUCCUCAAAACACUGGACUGUACGAGAAAGGACACUGGAGACUACCUCAAAACACUGGACUGUACGAGAAAAUAUGCUGGGGACUUUCUCAAAACACUGAACUGUACAACAAAGGACACUGGAGACUUCCUUAAAAACACUGGACUUUACAACAAACUAUGCUGGAGAGUUUUUCAGGAUGAUGGGAACUGGUGACUGCAUCAAAAGAAUUGUGAUUUUUUUUUUUUAAUUAUUAUUAUUAUUUUUUCAAUUGAGGUCUAAGCUUUUUUUUAAAGCCAAGAAGGUGCGUGUUUACUUUCUAGUUUUAAGGCUUGAAUGUUGCUGCUUAAUGCAGCAGACUACCAGUUCCUUAUGGUUGUGUUAUGAUAGUUAUUUCUGUGGAAAAAAAAAAACAAAGAUCAGUUAACCGAUUUAAGUAGGCUUCCCCUCUCCAUCUCCUCAGAACAUUGUGAUCAAACUGUAUUCUUAAACACUGUUUGUGUGUUUUGAUUUCCAGUUGAUGCAUUGUCGCAUUGCUCAUUGUACCCUUUUACAGUUCUAUAGGGUAUAUUAAAUUAAAAUAUGUUAUGAGGUAAUGUGUUAGGCAACUCUAAGUUUCAGUUGUCCUUUUGCAGUAUUGCUCAAAUGUCAAUAAAUUCUUUGUUUAAAUAAAUUCCUCAAAUUGA
Long non-coding RNA from Astyanax mexicanus (Mexican tetra), 6143 nucleotides. RefSeq lists it as uncharacterized. The record is from RefSeq and is a predicted model, not a curated record. The transcript has 7 exons. NCBI's taxonomy places the organism in Eukaryota, Metazoa, Chordata, Actinopteri, Characiformes, Acestrorhamphidae.